Molecule: ribosomal RNA, 253 nt
Filed under: uncultured prokaryote
Description: partial 16S ribosomal RNA
Rfam family: Bacterial small subunit ribosomal RNA
Source: RNAcentral
UACGUAGGGUGCGAGCGUUAAUCGGAAUUACUGGGCGUAAAGUGUGCGCAGGCGGCCGAGCAAGUCGAGUGUGAAAGCCCCGAGCUUAACUUGGGAAUUGCGCUCGAAACUACUUGGCUGGAGUGUGGCAGAGGAAGGUGGAAUUCCAGGUGUAGCGGUGAAAUGCGUAGAUAUCUGGAGGAACACCGGUGGCGAAGGCGGCAUUCUGGACCAUUACUGACGCUGAGGAGCGAAAGCCAGGGGAGCAAACGGG